Molecule: unclassified non-coding RNA, 329 nt
Organism: Ursus americanus (American black bear)
Lineage: Eukaryota; Metazoa; Chordata; Mammalia; Carnivora; Ursidae
Gene: 7SK
Rfam family: 7SK RNA
About the family: 7SK was discovered as an abundant small nuclear RNA in the mid-70s but a possible function has only recently been suggested. Two independent studies have found that 7SK RNA binds the CDK9/cyclin T complex (known as elongation factor P-TEFb).
Source: Ensembl
GGAUGUGAGGACGAUCUGGUUGUGACAUCUGUCACCCCGCUGCUCUCCAGGGUUGAUUUGGCUGAUCUGGCUGGCUAGAUGAUUGUCCCCUUCCUCCUUCACUGCUCCAUGUGUGUCCCUCCUGAAGCUGCAUCCUCCGUCGAAGAGAACGACCUUCCCUGUUAGAGGAAGACUGUUCUUUGGUGAAGGGUACAUGAAUAGCAGUGUUCUCCUGCUAGAACCUUGAAAUAGGUUCUCAAGGUCCAUUUGUAGGAGAACGUCGGGUAGACAAACUUUCAAGACACGAGACACAUCCAAAUGAGGUGCUGCAUGCAGCAGUCAGCCUUUUU